This 45-nucleotide non-coding RNA is filed under the name Trichobilharzia regenti. The record is from RNAcentral. Lineage: Eukaryota; Metazoa; Platyhelminthes; Trematoda; Strigeidida; Schistosomatidae.
AGCUAGCGGACGAGUCCCAAAUAUGACGAAAUGCGCAUCCUGGAU